This is a long non-coding RNA of Oncorhynchus keta (chum salmon), 464 nucleotides long. RefSeq lists it as uncharacterized. The record is from RefSeq and is a predicted model, not a curated record. Lineage: Eukaryota; Metazoa; Chordata; Actinopteri; Salmoniformes; Salmonidae. The transcript has 3 exons.
UUGAGUUAGUUGGACUAGCUCCAUCCAUAGCUACUGUUGAUGUUGUUGAGUUAGUUGUACUAGCUCCAUCCAUAGCUACUGUUGAUGUUGUUGAGUUAGUUGUACUAGCUCCAUCCAUAGCUACUGUUGAUGUUGUUGAGUUAGUUGGACUAGCUCCAUCCAUAGCUACUGUUGAUGUUGUUGUUGUUGAGUUAGUUGGACUAGCUCCAUCCAUAGCUACUGUUGAUGUUGUUGUUUUAGUUGGACUAGCUCCAUCCAUAGCUACUGUUGAUGUUGUUGAGUUAGUUGGACUAGCUCCAUCCAUAGCUACUGUUGAUGUUGUUGUUUUAGUUGGACUAGCUCCAUCCAUAGCUACUGUUGCUACUGUUGUUGUUGAGUUAGUUGGACUAGCUCCAUCCAUAGCUACUGUUGCUACUGUUGUUGUUAUUGAGUCAGUUGGACUAGCUCCAUCCAUAGCUACUGUU